This 446-nucleotide unclassified non-coding RNA is filed under the name Hevea brasiliensis (rubber tree). Lineage: Eukaryota; Viridiplantae; Streptophyta; Magnoliopsida; Malpighiales; Euphorbiaceae. The record is from RNAcentral.
UAAUUAUAAUAUAUAGGGAGAGAGAUAAAGUGAUGGAGAGAAAGGGAGAGAUAAUUAAAUAUAAUCUCUUUGCCUCAUCUCUCCCUGUCACUUUGUCUCUCCCUCUGUGUCUUCUUCUCUCUCUCCAUUUGUCUCUCCCUUUCUCCCUUCCUAUUUGUGUCUCUCUCCAUUAAUCUCUCAAUCUUUCCACUUCUUUCUCCCUUUAUCCUUCUCUUUGACGCUCUGUCUCUCUCCCUUUUUCCCUUUUCUAUCUCCUCAUUGUCAUCUCUCUCUUUCUUUUGUUUUCCUUAUUGUCUCUCCCCUGUCCAUCUCUCUUUAUAUUUCUUAAAGGAAUGUUCAAAAUUCAAAAUAAGUUGCAAGAUUCACAUAUUCAAAAAGAAAGAGAGACGAAAAUGGGAAGAGAGAGGAGAGAUAGACAAAGUGAAAGGAAGAGAGAGAGAGAGAGA